CAGUGGGUGAAAGCCCCACCCGGCAACCCGCUCCAGCCGGAAGCAACCGGAGCAGCUAUGGAGGUGACGAAAUGGUUGAAGCCUUCGGAUAGUCGGCGUAUGUGGACUUGCAUGAACUGCUCGCGACGACU
Molecule: non-coding RNA, 131 nt
Organism: Betaproteobacteria bacterium RIFCSPLOWO2_02_64_14
Lineage: Bacteria; Pseudomonadati; Pseudomonadota; Betaproteobacteria
Source: Rfam